RNAcentral lists this ribosomal RNA (454 nucleotides) under uncultured bacterium. Its description in RNAcentral is "partial 16S ribosomal RNA". It matches the Rfam family "Bacterial small subunit ribosomal RNA", at positions 28 to 507 of the family's 1533-position model. The record is from RNAcentral.
GAUGAACGCUGACAGAAUGCUUAACACAUGCAAGUCUACUUGAACUUCGGUUUGGGUGGCGGACGGGUGAGUAACGCGUAAAGAACUUGCCUCACAGUUAGGGACAACAUUUGGAAACGAAUGCUAAUACCUGAUAUUAUGAUUUUAGGGCAUCCUAAAAUUAUGAAAGCUAUAUGCGCUGUGAGAGAGCUUUGCGUCCCAUUAGCUAGUUGGAGAGGUAACGGCUCACCAAGGCGAUGAUGGGUAGCCGGCCUGAGAGGGUGAACGGCCACAAGGGGACUUAGACACCGCCCUUACUCCUUCGGGAGGCAGCAGUGGGGAAUAUUGGACAAUGGACCAAAAGUCUGAUCCAGCAAUUCUGUGUGCACGAUGACGUUUUUCGGAAUGUAAAGUGCUUUCAGUUGGGAAGAAAAAAAUGACGGUACCAACAGAAGAAGUGACGGCUAAAUACGUG